UGCAGGUGAUGCAGAAGAAUGUUUGCUGAGAGGUGGUGAUGCCAUUUUAAGGCACCGAGAUCGCUGAUGCA
Molecule: small nucleolar RNA, 71 nt
Organism: Kogia breviceps (pygmy sperm whale)
Lineage: Eukaryota; Metazoa; Chordata; Mammalia; Artiodactyla; Physeteridae
Product: small nucleolar RNA SNORD24
Exons: 1
Source: RefSeq, a predicted model, not a curated record